AACGAACGCUGGCGGCAGGCCUAACACAUGCAAGUCGAGCGAGGACUUCGGUUCUAGCGGCGGACGGGUGAGUAACGCGUGGGAAUGUGCCCUUCUCUACGGAAUAGCCCUGGGAAACUGGGAGUAAUACCGUAUACGCCCUAUUGGGGAAAGAUUUAUCGGAGAAGGAUCAGCCCGCGUUGGAUUAGGUAGUUGGUGGGGUAAUGGCCUACCAAGCCGACGAUCCAUAGCUGGUGUGAGAGGAUGAUCAGCCACACUGGGACUGAGACACGGCCCAGACUCCUACGGAAGGCAGCAGUGGGGAAUCUUAUACAAUGGGGGCAACCCUAAUCUAGCCAUGCCGCGUGAGUCAUGAAGGCCUUAGGAUUGUAAAGCUCUUUCAGCUGGGAAGAUAAUGACGGUACCCGCAGAAGAAGCCCCGGCUAACUCCGUG
Molecule: ribosomal RNA, 433 nt
Filed under: uncultured bacterium
Lineage: Bacteria
Description: partial 16S ribosomal RNA
Rfam family: Bacterial small subunit ribosomal RNA
Source: RNAcentral